UUUUUUUUUUUUUUUUUUUUUUUUUUUUUUUGUCUUUUUGCCUUUUCUGGGGCUGCUCCCGCAGCAUAUGGUGAUUCCUAGGCUAGGGGUCUAAUCAGAGCUGUAGCUGUCGGCCUAUGCCACAGCUGCAUCUGCAACCUACACCACAGCUCAUGGCAAUGCCGGAUCCUUAACCCACUGGGCAAGGCCAGGGAUCGAACCCAAAACCUCAUGGUUCCUAGUCGGAUUCGUUAACCACUGCACCACGACGGGAACUCCCUCUCUUGCAAUGAUUAUGUUUGCAAUUUCUCUUAUCUAAUUGCAUUAGCUAAUGUCACCAGUACGUACACACACACACACACACACACACACACCGCAGAUAUAUAGCUAUACAUAUAGACAAUCAUCUUAAUAAAGUAUUCAUCAAUUUCUAUUUUCUCUAGUGCUUAUAGCAACAACACUGUUGAAGUCUGUCAAAUGGAACUAUAUCCAGCCUCUUGGGAUAGACUAUGAUGGAAGUUAAUGGGAGAAAGUGAAUGUAUAUGUAUGUAUGACUGGGUCACUUUGACAUACAGCAGAAAUUGGCACAACAAUGUAAACCAACUAUAUGCUAAUAAAGAUUUAAAAAAAUUAAUUUUGUCAAAGGCUUCAUCAGCAUCUAUGGAGAUAAUCAUAUGAUUUUCUUAGAUAUACUGAUAUGGUAUGUUACUUAAUAGAUUUCCUAAUAACUGAACAAACCUUUAAUUCCUAAAUCGCACUUGGUCAAGGUUUAUUAUUUUCUUAUUGUAGUUUUGUAUUCUAUUUAAUAUUUAACAUAGCCUAUUUGAGUCAGUACUCAUAAGUGUACUUUUCCAUUUUUAUAUUCCAUCAGGUUUUGUGUAAAUGUUAUCUUGCUUCAUAACAAGGUAUUAGGGAAGUUUUUCUUUACUCUCCUUGCUCUUAAACAACUUAAGGAAUAUGAGACUAUCUGAACUUUGAAGAUUUGGUAUAAUUCCCCUAUCAAACCAUCUGGGGUCACAUUUACCGUCUAGUGAUGCUUGCCAAGGGUGCUAAAACAGUUCAAUAAGGGAAGAAAUAGUCUUUUCGACAAAUGGUGUCCGGGACAACUAGAUAUCUACAAACAAAAGAAGGUAGGUCCUGCACCUAUACACCAAGCCUUGGAUAGGACUUCUAGAUAUCCACAAAUAAAAGAAGGUAGGUCCUGCACCUAUACACCAAACUUUGGAUAGGACUCCGUCUCGAAUACCGCCCUCCUGGGAUGUGCACAAGGAAAACCCCGCCCUCGCGUCCGUCCUGCUUCUAACCGGUCUUCUGCGCUCCGCUGAGCCCUCUGGCAGGACGCCGACCUCCAAGCCUGAUCGAUUUGGAAAGCAUGAUUUGGAUUCAGGUCCAACUACAGCCCCCAGCAUCUAGAACAAACGACCGCGGCCCGCAUACUUCCCUAUCCCCUCCGCAACUCAUCCAGAUCCUGGCGCCCCCGAGGCUCCGCCCCUUAUGCUGAUCGUGGUGCUGGUGCUGGUGCUGCCCGUCCCGUUUACGUCUGGAUUUGCGCUUCUCUCCGUGGCGGAGUUUGGUUUUCUCCGCUGUUGGCGUUGGCUUCGGCGCUCAGCCCCGGCCCCUUUGGCCUCUCGUACCGGUUGAGGCACGCCACCUGCUCCUGCUAGUACCCCGCGGCCGAAGCUUCCCUCCUUGGUCCCUCGGAGAUCCUCCGCCAAAUCCGCCCGCGCGGGCCUCGGUUGUGGCUCUGGGUCUCUGGUGGAGGGGAGGCCUUUUCUCUUUCCUCUAGGCGCCUCUCUUCAAAGUCUACCAAAGCAAUCUUUGUAUCUUUUCUUCCGAAGGAAAAGCAUUUAUGUUUUGGAAAACGGCCCAGCGCCCUCUUCUCACCGACAUGGCGAUUGUGGCGCCUUCCUGUGAGCCCUGGACAGAAAUGCUCUGGCUGUGAGCAUCCUUAUUGAAGUUUGAUGAAUCAUUCGGGUGUUUUCUUGUUGUGGACUGACUGUUCCUAUUUUGCAUGUCUGUAUACCUACAUCUGUCUCCAUGUGUGUAGUUAAAAGUUUAUAAGAAACUCUGAGAGUAAGGAGAUAGAAAUGUUGCAGACAUGAUAUUUGACCUUUAAUACUGGGUUAAUUGCAUAGCAUGUAACAACAAAGGAUUGUGUAAUGACUCCUACAAAUUAAUACCCCAAAUGAAAACUCAAUAUGAAAACGAUGAAGAGGUUUGGGUAGGUUCUUUAAUAAAGAAAAUAAAGGAAUGACAGAUUCAUGAAAAGAUGCUUGAUAUCGUUAGCAACCUGGGAAAUGCAAAUUAAAAUCACAAUAUUAUGUAUUAUACACACUGAAUAGUUAAAACUAAAAAUAGAGUGACAGUUCCAGUAUUGGUUGAGAAGUGCAUACAGCUAAGGGAAACAUACAUUUUUUUUUUGUCUUUUUUUUUUUUUUUUUUUUUUUUGCUAUUUCUUUGGGCCGCUCCCGGGGCAUAUGGAGGUUCCCAGGUGUGGCCCUAAAAAGCAAAGACAAACAGAGUAUCAACUUGGAAGUUACCUUGUGGCCCAUAGGGUUAAGGAUCAGCUUUAGUUGCUGCUGUGGCAAGGGUUCACUUCCUGGCCAGGGAACUUUCACAUGCCAUGGACAUGGCCCCCAAAAAAGUAUCAACUAAAUAUGAUGUUGAUACCACAACAAUAAUAUAUACACAUGCCCACAAGUUGAACGUAGGCACUACUCAUAGCAUAAUUUGAAAUAUCCCUAAGUUGUAUUGCUUUCAUGUUUUUUCAUUUGGUUUUCUGUCUACUGUCCUGAUUGGAUGAUUUCCAUUAUUCUAUCUUCCAUAUCACUAAUUCAUUCCUCUGCAUUAUUUAUUCUGCUCUUUAUUGCCUUUAGCUCAGUUUGUAUCUUUGCAACUGAAUUUUCUAGUUUUUCUUGGCUCCUCCUUAUAUUUUCUAGUUCCUUUCUGAGAGAAUCUGCAUUACUGUUCAUAUCCUGUCUUAAUUCCUUCAGUAUUUUCACUAUCUCCCUUUUGAACUCAAAGUCUGUCAGACUGCAGAGGUCUGUUUCAUUGCUGACUGCUUUAGGUGAAUUCUCCUGUUCCUUUAACUGGGAAUCGUUUCUGUGAUUCGUCAUCUUGCUUGUGCUUUUCUUUUUCUGUGAGUUUGGGGAAGCCAAACUAGUCUUGUAAGGCUACUUCUAUGCAAGAAUACUCCUUUGUAUUUUGGGGGGGGAGGGGGUUACUAUUUACUUUUGGUGUGGGAGUUUGAAUAUUUGCUAUCUCUUUCUUUGGUGUGAGCAAGCUGUUAUUCUCAGGAUGCUCAGUGUGUUUUCAGGAAGAAGGAGGCAAUAGGUAGGGCCAGCAGUCAGUGCCUGGUCGUUGGGCUCUCACCAACAGGAAGGAUCUGGAGGAAGGUGGUACAGGCUACUCCUAGUUGCAGGGCCCUGGGAAGUGGUAAUAAGCUCUAGGCAGAUCUUCAAGGUGACCAGAGCAUUUGGCAGUAGCAGCAGCAGGGUUCCCAGGGGAUUGAGAACAACACCACCUUGUGUUUGAUUGCAGUGCCCUCCUCUGAGGUUCUUGGAACCGCAGGUGGUGCCUGUUCAGGGAACCCUAUUGGGAGCAGGCCAUGACCGUAUCUAGAGUCAGUGAUAACUUUGGUGGUUUGCCCCCGCCACCUGUAGACCAUGCAUGAGGCAACUUGUCUCACUUAGCCCACAUAGAAGAUGCUGUACAGGCUGCUCCUAGCUGCAGGAUCCUGGGAAGUGACAGAGACCAGGCGUGUAGGUACUGCCUGGAACGUCUGGCAGUGGUAGCAGCAGGGCGGGUGUGUUCCUGGAGGUACAAGAGCACCAACAGAUGGUGUUAGGUCACAAUGCCCUCCUCUGUGGUGCCCUUUAGGUGAAUGGGGAUGCAAGUGAUUUUUGUCCAGAUAUCUCAAAUGGCAGCGGGCCACGCCCACUUCUGGAAUCAGGGAUAACUGCUGCCCGCAAACCACACAAGAAGCACUCUGUCCCACUUAGCCCAUGCAGGAGGUGCUGCACCAGCUGCUCCUAGUUGUAGGAUCUUGGGAAGGGACAGUCACCAAGUGUCUGGGUGCUGCCCAGAGCGUUUGGCAGUGGCAGCUGCAGGGCAGGUGUGUUCCCAGUGGCAGCUGCAGAGCAACAGCGUAUGGUGCUUGGUUGCAGUGCCCUCUUUUUUUCUUUUUUGCCAACCCCUGAGGUGAUUGGGGUUACAGUUGGAGCCCACUCACAGGCCCCCAGUGGUGGCAAGUCGCGCCUUCUUCUGGCCUCUGAAAUGACCACCGCAGUCAGUCCCUGCUACCUAUAGAUCAUGCAAGAGGCACCACGUCACACUUAACCCCCUGAUGCCUUAGCCAACACAAGAGGUGCCUGGCCACCGGUAGCCUGCACAAAAAGCACCCAGUCUCCCCUAAAUAAGCAAGAGCUUCUCGCGGCUGGUAGCCAGUGCCAGAGCUGCCCCGCCCUCUGAGAGCCCGUGGGCAUGCGCACGCUCCAAGCAGGGCGUUUCCUAUGGCGUCUGCCCAUCCUCCUCUGCCCUCCCCAACAAUGGCGCCUUUCCUCUCUGGCGAGUAGGGACUUUCUCCCUGGUUCCCGCUGAGUGGCGUUCCCCCCCUCCUCAGCCUGUGGUGUGCUGAUCCCCCGCCCGUGGCACACUGCUCCUUAGCCCCUCAGACUGUCCCCACACAGCCAGCCCCAGUCCUCUCCCGGAGACUGACCUCCAAAGCCUGAGUCUCAGCGCCCAGCCCCUGCCAGCGUCUCAAGCUGUGGUGUCCAGGCUGGUGGUUCAGAUGAUCUGUGUGGCUCUCACUCUGCUUUGCUGUUCUCAGUCCUGCUGCUGUGCUUUUCUCCACGACUUUGAGGUCCUGCCAACGCCGCUGAUCUUUCCGUCAGUUAGGUAGUUUCCCAGGAUGUGGCUUCUUUUCUCCUUCACAGCUCCCUCUCGGGAAUGCUAGUCCUGUCCUGAUUCCUUUUCUCUCUCUUUUUCUUUUGUUCUACUCAGUUAUGUAAAGAGUUUCUUAACCUUUUCGGAGGUUUAAGUUCUUCUGCCAGCAUUCAGUUGAUGUUCUGUGAGAGUUGUUUUACAUGUAGAUGUGUUUUUUUUGAUGUGUUUGUCGGAGAAGGUGAGCGCCACCUCUUACUCCUCCGCCAUCUUGCUCCGCCUCC
Molecule: long non-coding RNA, 5144 nt
Filed under: Sus scrofa (pig)
Lineage: Eukaryota; Metazoa; Chordata; Mammalia; Artiodactyla; Suidae
Description: lncRNA (ENSSSCG00050015163.1)
Source: RNAcentral